UACGUAGGCAGCAAGCGUUGUUCGGAAUCAUUGGGCGUAAAGAGCGUGUAGGCGGCUUGGUAGGUCUGCUGUGAAAACUCGAGGCUCAACCUCGAGCUGUCGGCGGAAACCACUUGGCUAGAGUCCGGAAGAGGAGAGUGGAAUUCCUGGUGUAGCGGUGAAAUGCGCAGAUAUCAGGAAGAACACCUAUGGCGAAGGCAGCUCUCUGGGACGGUACUGACGCUGAGACGCGAAAGCGUGGGGAGCGAACAGG
This 253-nucleotide ribosomal RNA is filed under the name uncultured bacterium. RNAcentral's name for it is "partial 16S ribosomal RNA". It matches the Rfam family "Bacterial small subunit ribosomal RNA", at positions 524 to 776 of the family's 1533-position model. The record is from RNAcentral.